CCCUUAGAUGUCCUGGGCCGCACGCGCGCUACACUGAUGCAUUCAACGAGUAUUUCCUUGGCCGAGAGGCCUGGGCAAUCUUUUAAACCUGCAUCGUGAUAGGGAUAGAUUAUUGCAAUUAUUAAUCUUGAACGAGGAAUUCCUAGUAAACGCAAAUCAUCAAUUUGCAUUGAUUACGUCCCUGCCCUUUGUACACACCGCCCGUCGCACCUACCGAUUGAAUGGUCCGGUGAAAUCUCGGGAUUGUGGCCAGUUCACUUUAUUGGGAGUUGGCUGCGAGAACUUGCUUAAACCUUAUCAUGUAGAGGAAGGUGAAGUCGUAACA
RNAcentral lists this ribosomal RNA (325 nucleotides) under uncultured eukaryote. RNAcentral's name for it is "partial 18S ribosomal RNA". It matches the Rfam family "Eukaryotic small subunit ribosomal RNA", at positions 1470 to 1796 of the family's 1831-position model. The record is from RNAcentral.